GUAGGAGAGGCCCCUUAGGAGCCCCAGCCAAAAAGAGUGCCUCGUCUACCUCCAACCCCCAGCUCCGUAGGGUCUUCAGAACGCGGGCCCCCGCGCUGGCAGCACUUCGAGCUGUGACCAGGGUUUUCAUCAAAGUUGGACCAGGCCAUUUGAGUGUGUCUCUGGAGAAGAGUGCUCCAGGAACAUGCCAGUCUGAAUCUACCCAUGACUGAACAAAUUUCUAGCGCUCCGACAUGCCGAGGGCGUGACUCUCCCCCAUAAAACACACACCGUAUGAUGCACAACUUCCCUUUCCUGCCGACACACAGCUGCGUGUCUGAGGCUUGGCGCUCUGCUCUCGUAAAUCAAGGCUUUCUGCAGCAGCAGGAUCCAAUCAGACCCAGGUGGGGGCCCAGGAGGCAGCAUGGGGGCCAGGCCUGGGGAAUACAAGCUCUAUAGUGGACAUCAGAAGAGACUAAAGGCCCUGUACAGGAGAAAGUGCAGUGGACCUGAGCUGGAACCCUGAGGGAUGCCAACACACUGGAAGACCUUGGGGAAGAUCCAUCACUUCAGUGCUAACCUCAGGUUUCUCUUUCACUUUUUCAUACACACAAACACACCCAUUUUUGUAUUCUUUGUUUCUCAGUGAUGUUGCCCAUACAUACUUCUUUCAACAACUUAUCCCCCAAACACACAAAGACAUACCCACAACCCUCUGAUGGUGUCUCCUCAAAGAAGAGAGUUUUCAAGGGAGGGGUGAAGGAGGGAUGUUGAUGAAAAGUGGCACAGGCCCUUGGAAUGCGAUCAGGCCUCCACAUCUGCAGGAAAGACGAAACCGGCCUCCCAAUUUUACAAUGAUGAUGUCAGCCUGCCUACAUGACAGUGUGUGGCUGAGGUGCCAAGUUUCUCCUCUUUUGCUUUGUUUUUUUUUUUCUUUUGUCUUUUCUGUUCUCUGUGCUGUUUUUUUUAACCAAAUCCCCCUUCCUCUCUCUUUAUACACACACACACAGAUAUUCAUAUACAUACAUACAUACAUACACACUGUUUAUUUAUUUAUUUUAUUCUUCCUUCUAGCAUGUAAUUUACAUGGGAUAGUAUUAACCAUGCUUUCAUAUGGGGGGAACUAAGAGCUGGUAAUUUCUAAUUUCGAAAAGGAUUACUCAUAUACUAUGUUUUUGGAGUUGAAUCAGCUCAUCUUUAUGAUUAGCAGCACUUCUGACCUCAAUGUCUUGACUGAAACAGAACCACACAGGUGCAAUAUGGAUCACUUUGUUUUUCUGUACUCAGACAUGGACAAUUUAAAUGGCUGUA
Molecule: long non-coding RNA, 1290 nt
Organism: Cyprinus carpio (common carp)
Lineage: Eukaryota; Metazoa; Chordata; Actinopteri; Cypriniformes; Cyprinidae
Exons: 3
Source: RefSeq, a predicted model, not a curated record